Molecule: long non-coding RNA, 1745 nt
Filed under: Hordeum vulgare
Lineage: Eukaryota; Viridiplantae; Streptophyta; Magnoliopsida; Poales; Poaceae
Description: long non-coding RNA (HVUL_LNC000011)
Source: RNAcentral
CAAGCAGUAGUAACCACCGAUCCAACAUGAAGACCUUUCUCAUCUUUGUCCUCGUUGCCAUGGCGAUGAACAUCGCCACUACUGCUAGGCAGCUAAACCCUAGCAACAAAGAGUUGCAAUCACCACAACAAUCAUUUUCCCAUCAACAACAACCAUUUCUGAAACAACAAUCAUAUCCGCAACAACCAUUUCCCACACCCCAACAACAAUUCCCGCAGCAACCACAACAACCAUUUCCCCAACCCCAACAACCAAUUCCCCUGCAACCACAACAACCAUUCCCUCAGCAACCCCAACAACCACAACAACCUUUUCCUCAACCCCAACAACCAUUUCCACAGCCCCACCAACCAUUUCCCUCGCAACCACAACAACCAUUUCCCCAAACCGAAGAAGCAUUCCCUCUACAGCCACAACAACCAUUCCCCCAGCAACCAGAACAAAUAAUUCUCCAGCAACCCCAACAACCAUUCCCUCUUCAACCAGAACAAAUAAUUCCCCAACAACCCCGACAACCAUUCCCCCUGCAACCGCAACAACCACUCCCCCAGCAACCCCAACAACAAUUCCCCCAACAACCCCAACAACCAUUACCCCAGCAACUAGAACAAAUAAUUCCACUGCAACCACAACAACCGUUCCCGCAGCAACCACAACAACCAUUUUUCCAGCCUCGACAACCAUCCCCCGAGCAACUAGAACAAAUAAUUACCCUGCAACCGCAACAACCAUUCUUCCAGCCCCAACAACUAACCCCCCUACAACCACAACAACCAUUCCCCCAACAACCCCAACAACCUUUUCCCCAGCCACAACAACCAUUCCCCUGGCAACUAGAACANNNNNNNNNNAACAACCAUCCCCCCAGCAACUAGAACAAAUAAUUCCCCUGCAACCGCAACAACCAUUCUUCAAGCCCCAACAACUAACCCCCCUACAACCACAACAACCAUUCCCACAACAACCCCCACAACCUUUUCCCCAGCCACAACAACCAUUCCCCUGGCAACUAGAACAAUCAUUCCCAUGGGAACCACAACAACCAUUUUCUCAACCCCAACAACCAGUUCCCCAGGACCCGCAACAACCAUUCCCUCUACAGCCGCAACAACCAUUCCCCCAACAACCACAUCAAUCAUUUCUCCAGCCUCAACAGCCAAUUCCCCAGCAACCCCAACAACCAUUCCCUCUACAGUCACAACAACCAUUCCCCCAGCAACCACAACAACCAUUUCCCCAGCCUCAACAACCAUCCCCCCAACAACCACAACAACCAUUCCCCCUACAACCGCAACAACCAUUCCCCCAUCAAACCCAACAAUCAUUUCUCCAGCCCCAACCCCAACAACCAUCCACCCUGCAACCGCAACAACCAUUACCCCAACAACCACAACAACCAUUUCUCCAGCCCCAACGACCAUUAACCCAUCAACCAGAACAAAUAAUUUUCCAGGAAACCCAACAAACUUUCCCCCAACAACCACACCAACCUCAGCAACCCUAUCCACAACAACAACCAUCCGGGAGUAGUGUUACAAGCAUCGGUGGCCAAUGAAAUGAAGACCUGUAAAACAAAAGACGGGCGGAUCAUCGUUGUUUAGUCAAUGAGCGUUCAAUGUACCGAUGAUAAAUAAAGUGAUGUGCACCAUCAUGUGUAACCCCGACCUAUACUAGUUCAAACAUGGGAAUAAAAGAUAAAUACAGUUCUUGUCACAAGGACAUUGCUGAUAAUUGUUAUAUUCAUG